UCAUGUCGUGCCGCCUUCUCAAAAUGGC
Molecule: non-coding RNA, 28 nt
Filed under: Bombyx mori (domestic silkworm)
Lineage: Eukaryota; Metazoa; Arthropoda; Insecta; Lepidoptera; Bombycidae
Source: RNAcentral